Ictidomys tridecemlineatus (thirteen-lined ground squirrel) is the source of this 2760-nucleotide long non-coding RNA. RefSeq lists it as uncharacterized. NCBI's taxonomy places the organism in Eukaryota, Metazoa, Chordata, Mammalia, Rodentia, Sciuridae. The record is from RefSeq and is a predicted model, not a curated record.
UCUCUGUUUAUGUCCUUGAUUGUUUCCUUUGCUGUGAAGAAGCUUUUUAGUUUUAUUCCACCCCAUUUGUUGACUCUUGAUUUUACUUCUUAUGCUUUAGGAGUCUUGUUGAGGAAAUCAGUUCCUAAACCAACAUGAUAGAGAGUUGGGUCUACUUUUUCUUGUAUUAGGCAUAGGGUCUUUGUUCCUGUGUCUAAGUUCUUGAUCCAUGUUGAGUUAAAUUUUGUGCAGGGUGAAAGAUGGGGGUUUAAUUUCAUUUUACUAUAUAUGGCUUGCUAGUUUUGCCAGCACCAUUUGUUGAAGAGGCUAUCUUUUCUCCAAUGUAUGUUUUUGGGUCUUUGUCUAGUAUGAGAUAAUUGUAUUGAGUUUAUCUCUUGUGUCUUCUAUUCUGUACCAUUGGUCUAUGUAUGUGUUUUUGUACCAAUUCAAUGCCAUUUUUGUUACUAUGGCACUGUAGUAUAAUUUAAGGUCUGGUAAUGUGAUUCCUCCUGCUUCACUUUUCUUACUAAGGAUUGCUUUGGCUAUUUGGGGUCUCUUAUUGUUUCAAAUGAAUAUCAUGAUUGCUUUUCCCUUUAUACCAGUAUUCUGAGUUGGAAGAAAAAGGAAUUUAAUACUUGGUGUGUACAUAUGAUGAGGUUUUAAAAAAACAAAAGUUAUUACAGGUUUUCAGGCUUGAAAAGUCCAUUGAAGUAUCUUAUGAAUUUUUUGGUUUUAUUUAUUUAUUUAUUUAUUUAUUUUUGGUACUAGGGAUUGAAUUCAGGGCACAUGACCACUGAGCCAUAUCCCCAGCCUUAUUUUGUAUGUUUAGAGACAGGGUCUCACUGAAUUAUGUAGCACCUUGCUUUUGCUUUGAACUCAUUAUCCUCCUGCCUCAGUCUCCCAAGCCCCUGGGAUUACAGGCGUGCGCCACUGCACCUGAUUAUCCUACAGGUUUUAUAAUCUCUGAACACAUAAAUAUUAUUCUCCAUAACCCAUUGAAACAAAAAGCUCUGGGGAUCUUUUGUUAUUCUUUUUUUUUUGAAUUUUUUUUAGUUAUACAUGUGCACAAUAUCUUUAUUUUGUUCAUUUAUUUUUAUGUGGUGCUGAGCAUUGAACCCAGUGCCUCAUAUGUGCAAGGCAAGCCCUCUGCUACUGAGCCACAACCCCAGCACUGUUUUGUUAUUCUUAUUAUGAAAGUUGGAAAGGUUCUGGAGGCCAAAAAAGUUAGAUGACCACUGGGGGUUAUGCCCAGGUGUGACUGGCUUAUUUCUUGCUCUGACCCCAAAAGGAACCACUGUGAUGGAAUUUCAAAUACUGGCUAUAUAAUGAAGGUGUCUGCAGCUGGGAUUUUGUCUAUAAUUACAAAAAGAUUUUGGUGGUGAACCUUCAGAAUCCCAGAUAGUGCAUUUAGUGGUUGUUGGUUAGUGAUUUGGUGUUUUGCUAUUGGUUUUUUAAUUUUGGGUUUUUGUUUUGUCUUUUUGUUUUUGGUCUUUUGUUUAUUUGUUUGUUUUUAAGCUAGUAUUCUUAACUGGAUUCUGACUUAGGAUGUGUAGUCAGAGUAGUGUAGUGCUGCAGGGGACCAGCUCCUGCUAUGAGAUGGCUCCCCAGACCAUUAUGAUGUCCUGAGGGUCACUUGGCAAGGGGGCUUUGGCCAGUGAUACUAGCCUACCAUCUUCUCAACAGGGCAGAGGUCAUAGUGAAAGUUGUGCUGAAGACAGAAGGGAAUGUUCCUGUCCUGUCAGAACCUGAUAGAUAGGUUCCUGGCCCUGGAACACGGAAACAUGAUUCAGCACUUCCAGAUUAUCAAGACCAUGCACAGUAUCUACCUGGUCAUGGAGCAUGCAGGUCGGGGAGAGCUAUGGUAGAGUAUCCCUACUGCAGUGGCCUGCAAUAGGAGAAGGCCCUCAGAGUGUUCAGGCAGAUCGUGUGUGCCACAUGCCGCUGCCAUGAGAAGAAGGGCAUCGUGUAGCUCCACCUGAAGCUGGAGCAUGUGGUGGAUGUCAGAGGUAAUGUCAAAUUCAUUGACGUUGGCCUUAGCACCAGGUUCAUGCCUGGGUAGAAGCUGAACAGGUUCUGGGGCAUUCUCCCAUACUGUGCCCCUGAAAUCGUCCAGGUGCAAGAAUAUGAGGGUUCCCCAGCAAACUUCUGGAGGCUGCAUGUCACUCUCUAUCUAUGCUCACAGGAAGAUGCCCAUUUAAGGCAAGCACCACUAAGCAGCUGCAGAAGCUGAUCAUGCAGGCAAGCUACGACAUUCCCCUGCACCUUUUGGAGGGAGCACUGAGCCUCAUCCAGCAGAUGCUGAUGCUGGACCCCUUGCAGAGGCCUACUCUAGAGCAGCUUUGUUGCUACAUGCCGUGCUUCUGCAGGCUGACCUUAAGAAGAAGAGUGGCUCCAAUGGAAGGUGGCCACAGAUAAUCUUGGUUCUGUAACAGAGUGGCUCCAGUGGACAUGCAUACAUGAGACAAACAGAUCAAUGGACAGCCAGAAGACCCUGAGCUCUGAGCAUCCUGAUAUCAUGAAGUGGGCAUCGGUCAGGAGUGAACUCAAACAGCUUCAGCAAUGAGGUGUGCCAGCUGGCUUGGGCUUGUCCAAGUGGAUUCCAGCCAAGAGUCUGUCUGGAUCCACCAGGACAGUCCUCUGUCCCCACCUGCCACAGACAUCAGAGACUCUUUUCCCUGGAACACUUCCCCCUGCCCUAUUUUCCUCUGGCCUUCCUUCUGUGCUUCUGGGAGAGAAGAGAUGGUUCUUAAUAAAUUUCUGUUUCUUACAACUUGUAUAAUA